CGCACAUUGCGCCCACCAGUAUUCUGGUGGGCAUGCCUGUUCGAGCGUCAUUUCAACCCUUAAGCCCCAGUUGCUUAGCGUUGGGAGCCUACCGGACCCUGUCCCGUAGCUCCCCAAAGUCAGUGGCGGAGCCGGUUUAACACUCCAGACGUAGUAGCUUUUACACAUCGCCUGUAGCCUAAGCCCGGCGCCCUGCCGUAAAACACCCCCCAAUGUAUAGGUUGACCUCGGAUCAGGUAGGAAUACCCGCUGAACUUAA
RNAcentral lists this unclassified non-coding RNA (259 nucleotides) under Nemania sp. RNAcentral's name for it is "partial contains 5.8S ribosomal RNA, internal transcribed spacer 2, and large subunit ribosomal RNA". Lineage: Eukaryota; Fungi; Ascomycota; Sordariomycetes; Xylariales; Xylariaceae. The record is from RNAcentral.